UUUCAUUAACCCUCAUUAUCUUAUCUUUUGUAUUGUGCAUUUUUACAUAGAUAGACUCGUUAUUUGUAUUCUGCAUUUUAGGACCCUUGAAGCAAUAGUCAAAAAGGAUCUCAUCAUCCCAUCUCAAUUGUGGUCCAGGUCUUUCCAAAACUUGGCAGAUGGCUCGUCUUUCUCAUCUUCCUUACCGUUGCCGAUCCAUGAGCUCCACCUCGGAAUUUUGGCUUUAUAUAUUUAAGAAUCCGAUGUUCAGCGCGGGGUGUGGUCUUGCUUCUGUUUUAAUUGGGAUUGCUACAGAAUGAAUGUUGAAGUGAGUGUUGAUAUGGCUGAGCCGCAAAGAGGAAGGAAUCUGUUGUGAGAGGUUUAUGAGAACAGUUUCAAUAAUCUAUUUCAGCUUCUCUCGCCUGUUCGCGAUCCUGUUCUCACUCCCAUAUCUGAUUUUGCUUGUUCCACAAAAUUUGUAAUAGAAUCUUUGGCUAUGUUUUUCUAUAUUGCUUAUUUUUCUUUCUUUUUGCACCUGUGUUUAGUAGUUUUUUUGCCUUGGAAUUUGAAGGCUGGGGGCACUGCUUGGAUUAGAGGAGAGGUGCGGGUUUGGCUUCGGAUGGACCGCUUGUGGUUUCUUGCCUGUCCUCACUGUCACCAGCCUUAUGAUUUUGCCGAUACUUUGGGGAUUGUGUGCAAGUGUUGUGGUCGAGAAAUGUAUAUUUUCCCUAGAUAUUCUUGUUCUAUUGUUCUCCUGCUACUAUUUGUCCAUGAUGUUGGUCUAGCUUUAUGCAUGAUUGCUGUUGAUUGCAGGGUCUAUAUUGCUCUGUCAAUUAAAGAUGACUCUGACUCUAUGAAUAUUCUGGUUAUUGGCGAUGAAGCUGUGCGCCUUAUUGGUCUUACUGCUUUUCAUCUUUAUGCACUCGAUGAACAAGAUGUAGUGUAGCUUGGUUUUUUUUAUACCUCUGCUAUGUUUGCAUCUAUGAUUCCGUUUAUGCUAAUGAUGUUGUUUGAUUCUUCUCUUUCUGCAACAUGCUAGAUUGAGCUAUCACGUUGCUAAUGAGGUCAAAGGAAAGAGGCUUUUGUGCUAUAUUAAGCAUUCAUCUGAUCAUAUUAGGAAAACCACUUCUGUCAAGUUUACUGUUGUUACUUUUUAUGUUGCCUAGCCUCUUUCGAGAUGUAGCUUGCUAUUUUUUUGGUGUAAGGAUGCUUUCAAUAUGUGUUUGGAGCACUUUAUGCUCUUGUUUGUUGUUUUGCAUAUGGACUCUUUUGUUGUCAUCUUGAUUCGAAGAAUCCAAUAUUCUCUGCU
Coffea eugenioides is the source of this 1288-nucleotide long non-coding RNA. RefSeq lists it as uncharacterized. NCBI's taxonomy places the organism in Eukaryota, Viridiplantae, Streptophyta, Magnoliopsida, Gentianales, Rubiaceae. The transcript has 3 exons. The record is from RefSeq and is a predicted model, not a curated record.